UCUAAAAAUAUAUUGUUUCUUGGAAGUUUUUUAAACUUGAAAAGUUUAAUUUAAAUUCAGUAUUGUGUUUGCAAGACUUUUUGAAGAAGAGAAGUAAUCCUUCUAGACCAAUGAAAGUUGAAAAUGGAUUUAAUUAUCAUUCUAACAGAUGGCAAGGGCGUUCCUGGAGGCUUUUCCAGACAAGCCAACUAUGACCUUUUCCACAGCUAAAUCUGACAUGGCAAAGGAACGGCAUUCUUUUGCCAUGGAAAUACUGAACUCAUCAGUGUUUGACAUGGAGAGCAACUGUGCAAUGUGCUCAGCUUGCAAACCGCCAAUGCCAGGGCCUCCUGUCACUGACUGGAUUCAAUGUGACACAUGCAACCGGUGGUACCACCUGCUCUGCCU
Austrofundulus limnaeus is the source of this 387-nucleotide long non-coding RNA. RefSeq lists it as uncharacterized. The transcript has 3 exons. The record is from RefSeq and is a predicted model, not a curated record. NCBI's taxonomy places the organism in Eukaryota, Metazoa, Chordata, Actinopteri, Cyprinodontiformes, Rivulidae.